Long non-coding RNA from Sinocyclocheilus anshuiensis, 91 nucleotides. RefSeq lists it as uncharacterized. The record is from RefSeq and is a predicted model, not a curated record. Lineage: Eukaryota; Metazoa; Chordata; Actinopteri; Cypriniformes; Cyprinidae. The transcript is spliced from 3 exons.
UGAUUGUGUACACCUUUUGGGUGAUAGAUGGUAAGUUGCAUGAAAGACACUGGGAAAUGGCACACCCUCUACAGCAGAGGUGCCUAACCCU